Molecule: ribosomal RNA, 579 nt
Filed under: Saccharomyces cerevisiae (brewer's yeast)
Lineage: Eukaryota; Fungi; Ascomycota; Saccharomycetes; Saccharomycetales; Saccharomycetaceae
Description: eukaryotic LSU rRNA
Rfam family: Eukaryotic large subunit ribosomal RNA
Source: RNAcentral
CCUUAGUAACGGCGAGUGAAGCGGCAAAAGCUCAAAUUUGAAAUCUGGUACCUUCGGUGCCCGAGUUGUAAUUUGGAGAGGGCAACUUUGGGGCCGUUCCUUGUCUAUGUUCCUUGGAACAGGACGUCAUAGAGGGUGAGAAUCCCGUGUGGCGAGGAGUGCGGUUCUUUGUAAAGUGCCUUCGAAGAGUCGAGUUGUUUGGGAAUGCAGCUCUAAGUGGGUGGUAAAUUCCAUCUAAAGCUAAAUAUUGGCGAGAGACCGAUAGCGAACAAGUACAGUGAUGGAAAGAUGAAAAGAACUUUGAAAAGAGAGUGAAAAAGUACGUGAAAUUGUUGAAAGGGAAGGGCAUUUGAUCAGACAUGGUGUUUUGUGCCCUCUGCUCCUUGUGGGUAGGGGAAUCUCGCAUUUCACUGGGCCAGCAUCAGUUUUGGUGGCAGGAUAAAUCCAUAGGAAUGUAGCUUGCCUCGGUAAGUAUUAUAGCCUGUGGGAAUACUGCCAGCUGGGACUGAGGACUGCGACGUAAGUCAAGGAUGCUGGCAUAAUGGUUAUAUGCCGCCCGUCUUGAAACACGGACCUCCU